This is a long non-coding RNA of Nomascus leucogenys (northern white-cheeked gibbon), 47 nucleotides long. It matches the Rfam family "ST7 antisense RNA 2 conserved region 2". The record is from Rfam. NCBI's taxonomy places the organism in Eukaryota, Metazoa, Chordata, Mammalia, Primates, Hylobatidae.
CAGUGUGUUUCAAGCCGUGAUCUGGAGUCAAGGUGUUAGUGAUUCCU